AGCAUAGCGAUUUGGGAUAAGUCUCUUGGAAAAGAGCAGCAUCGAGGGUGAUACUCCCGUUUGUGCCUUUGUGAUUUGUACGUACGACACGUUUUCUUUGAGUCGCGUUGUUUGGGAAUGCAGCGCAAAGUAGGUGGUAAAUUCCAUCUAAAGCUAAAUAUUGGUGCGAGACCGAUAGCGAACAAGUACCGUGAGGGAAAGAUGAAAAGAACUUUGAAAAGAGAGUUAAAGAGUACCUGAAACUGCUGAAAGGGAAUCGAAUCGUUUCUAGUGUCUAUGAUCCAUGACAUAUUUCAUUGUUGAUUGUGUGCGUGUAAUGUUUAUUGAUGUGGAUUCGUUCUGCUCUGAAUGUUAUUGUGCGUGCGAUUGAUGUUGCCCUGUGUUGUGGUGGGACGUCAAAGUCAGUUCGUAUACUGCGGGAAAUGACUGUUGAGAAGGUAGUUUUCACUUGUGAAUCUGUUAUAUCUUGAUGGUUGAGUAGUCGUGGUUGAGACUGAGGUGCC
RNAcentral lists this ribosomal RNA (503 nucleotides) under uncultured Oomycota. RNAcentral's name for it is "LSU rRNA". It matches the Rfam family "Eukaryotic large subunit ribosomal RNA", at positions 167 to 634 of the family's 3401-position model. The record is from RNAcentral. Lineage: Eukaryota; Oomycota.